UACCAUGCAGUCGAGCGGAGAUGAGGUGCUUGCACCUUAUCUUAGCGGCGGACGGGUGAGUAAUGCUUAGGAAUCUGCCUAUUAGUGGGGGACAACAUUCCGAAAGGAAUGCUAAUACCGCAUACGUCCUACGGGAGAAAGCAGGGGAUCUUCGGACCUUGCGCUAAUAGAUGAGCCUAAGUCGGAUUAGCUAGUUGGUGGGGUAAAGGCCUACCAAGGCGACGAUCUGUAGCGGGUCUGAGAGGAUGAUCCGCCACACUGGGACUGAGACACGGCCCAGACUCCUACGGGAGGCAGCAGUGGGGAAUAUUGGACAAUGGGGGGAACCCUGAUCCAGCCAUGCCGCGUGUGUGAAGAAGGCCUUAUGGUUGUAAAGCACUUUAAGCGAGGAGGAGGCUACUGAGACUAAUACUCUUGGAUAGUGGACGUUACUCGCAGAAUAAGCACCGGCUAACUCUGUGCCAGCAGCCGCGGUAAUACAGAGGGUGCGAGCGUUAAUCGGAUUUACUGGGCGUAAAGCGUGCGUAGGCGGCUUUUUAAGUCGGAUGUGAAAUCCCCGAGCUUAACUUGGGAAUUGCAUUCGAUACUGGGAAGCUAGAGUAUGGGAGAGGAUGGUAGAAUUCCAGGUGUAGCGGUGAAAUGCGUAGAGAUCUGGAGGAAU
RNAcentral lists this ribosomal RNA (661 nucleotides) under uncultured bacterium. RNAcentral's name for it is "bacterial SSU rRNA". It matches the Rfam family "Bacterial small subunit ribosomal RNA", at positions 52 to 707 of the family's 1533-position model. The record is from RNAcentral.